Molecule: ribosomal RNA, 859 nt
Filed under: Curvularia indica
Lineage: Eukaryota; Fungi; Ascomycota; Dothideomycetes; Pleosporales; Pleosporaceae
Description: eukaryotic LSU rRNA
Rfam family: Eukaryotic large subunit ribosomal RNA
Source: RNAcentral
AACAACAGGGAUUGCCCUAGUAACGGCGAGUGAAGCGGCAACAGCUCAAAUUUGAAAUCUGGCUCUUUUAGAGUCCGAGUUGUAAUUUGCAGAGGGCGCUUUGGCUUUGGCAGCGGUCCAAGUUCCUUGGAACAGGACGUCACAGAGGGUGAGAAUCCCGUACGUGGUCGCUAGCUAUUGCCGUGUAAAGCCCCUUCGACGAGUCGAGUUGUUUGGGAAUGCAGCUCUAAAUGGGAGGUAAAUUUCUUCUAAAGCUAAAUAUUGGCCAGAGACCGAUAGCGCACAAGUAGAGUGAUCGAAAGAUGAAAAGCACUUUGGAAAGAGAGUCAAACAGCACGUGAAAUUGUUGAAAGGGAAGCGCUUGCAGCCAGACUUGCUUGCAGUUGCUCAUCCRGGCUUUUGCCCGGUGCACUCUUCUGCAGGCAGGCCAGCAUCAGUUUGGGCGGUGGGAUAAAGGUCUCUGACACGUUCCUUCCUUCGGGUUGGCCAUAUAGGGGAGACGUCAUACCACCAGCCUGGACUGAGGUCCGCGCAUCUGCUAGGAUGCUGGCGUAAUGGCUGUAAGCGGCCCGUCUUGAAACACGGACCAAGGAGUCUAACAUCUAUGCGAGUGUUUGGGUGUCAAGCCCGAGCGCGUAAUGAAAGUGAACGGAGGUGGGAACCCGCAAGGGUGCACCAUCGACCGAUCCUGAAGUUUACGGAAGGAUUUGAGUAAGAGCAUGGCUGUUGGGACCCGAAAGAUGGUGAACUAUGCUUGAAUAGGGUGAAGCCAGAGGAAACUCUGGUGGAGGCUCGCAGCGGUUCUGACGUGCAAAUCGAUCGUCAAAUUUGGGCAUAGGGGCGAAAGACUAAUCGAACU